Molecule: long non-coding RNA, 3091 nt
Organism: Bos taurus (domestic cattle)
Lineage: Eukaryota; Metazoa; Chordata; Mammalia; Artiodactyla; Bovidae
Source: Ensembl
UCCACCUGUACAGCCCCCUGUCCCCCAGCUUGGAAGGGGAAAUGGGGGUGACAGCCCCGGUUCCAGCUCUUACAGGAGCCAAGUCAGACCCGGGCUGGCUUCUGGACACCCAACCUGCUGCCACGGGGCUCACCUUGUUUUACUCCUGUUUCCUCCUGUGUGAUCCGAGGAAAAUGAUCCCAGCACACAGGGGAGUUGAGGAUGAAAGGAGGUGAGGCAGGUAAGACCCAGGAUGCAACGAGUGAGAUGAGGUGGGUGUUGAGUAAGUGGGCUCCCACAGCUGAACCACAUAUUCGACCUCCACCUGGAGGGCCUUCUCUGCACCAAGGUUGCUGGAGAAGGGGGUGGGGGGUGAUGCUGUCCUUGGGCAGAAGGAGAUGGAUGGUGUCACGAUUGAAUAGCACGCUCCUCCCCACCCCAGAUGUAUCAAAGUCCAACCCCGGUGCCUGUGAAUGUUAUCUGGAAAGUCUUCAUAGAUGUAAUUAAGAUGAGGUUGUAUCGGAUUAGGAUGGGCCCAGAGUUCUUAGGAAACAGGGAAAUUUGGACACAUACACACAGGGGAGAAGACCACCUGGAGACGGAGCAGAGAUUAGAGCGACGUAGCUACAAAGCACGGAACGCCGAGCAUGCGUGCAACACAGGAAGCUGGGACAGGCAGGGAAGUUUCUCCCCAGAGCCUUUGGAAGGAGCGUGGCCCUGCCAACACCUUCUUCAGCUCAGCCUUCUAACCUCCAGAACUGUGAGGGAAAAAAUUUCUGCUGUUUUAAGCCAUGCAGUUUGUGAUAAUUGAUUACAGCAACUGCAGGAAACUAAUACACAAGGGGGCAGAUUGCUGCUGCUUUUAAAGAUAAUAACAGGAGCGAGAGGUUACCGGCCCAGAGGCCGGAGCCGAAUGCCCUCGGUCACAAGCGGGAUGGCUCCCUGGCCAGGCUGUCGGCCCCAGAACACAGCCCAGUCCAUCUUUUCUCAUAAAAGCGUGGUGCUGACUCGGUAAAAGCUCUCAAAGGAGAAACAACGCUGGUGCCCAGGCAGGCUGUGGAUCAUGCUGGUUCUCCCCCCACAGACCCCCAAACGUGGGCUCUCAGGGCACCUGGGAGCGUCAUCCAGGCACAUCCAGCGGGAGGGGCGCGGUCCCUCGAGCCCGACUUCCAGAUCAACUCUGCUCAAUCGUCUCCCUCUGACUCUGCUAAAUAUAGCCCACGCUCAACUUCUGUGCUUAUUUGAAUAUGGGGCUCUGGAGACGAGUGAUUCUGGAGAAAAUUGCAGCUGGGGGGCUGGGCCGUGUGGGGGCUCCUUGGACCCAGGCGAGACAAACCCAGGAUGCUUGAUACCCUUGCCCUAAUCCCUGCCUCGGACCUCCGGAAGCCCUCUCUUGGCCACCAGUUCUGGGGUCCUCAGAAGGCGGGGAUGGAGGGUGGAUAGAGACUGUGAAUGCGUCUUGUCUAAAGUUGGCGUCCUCAUUUUCCAUCUUGUUCCCUAUCACUCAUUCAUUCAACAAACGUUGGCAACCAGCCUAAGUGCUUGGUGCGGCAUUUGACCCAAGAGAUACACGUUCUCCUAUCUAGUGCCCGUGUCUUGGGCACAAGCACCCAAGGCCUGGGGAAUGGGACUCACCGGGCUUCCUGCACCUGAUGAUGCUUGGUUUUCAUCCGUUCUGGAAAGCGCUUGGCCAGCAUCUCCUCAUAUUUCACCUCUUCCAGGAAAAUAGACCAGCCUCCUCCUCAUCUCCUUGCCCUGGGACAGGUAAUUUCUUUUGAAGCUGUGGGCCUUAAGAGGUUGCUUUUCUCUACCUCAAACCACAGGCCACGCCUCCGGCUUCCAGGGAGGGGUCGAUACCCAAGCCUCUCGGUGCAGGGCUUGGAAACGCCCCUUGGCCUCAUAGACUUAAAGUCUGUACGUUUCCGCUGACCACCUGGGAGUCUUCAUAUCCAGCUUCAUUUGGGCCACACCACCCUGAGGAAGGGGCAGUUUCCGUCUUUCUUGCAACCUCAGCUGUGCCUUCACCUGGACAUUGCCUUUUGUGAUGGUUUAUUUUCUGAAAAGAAAACUUUCCAGUUACUUAGGCUGAAGUAGAACUAAGUUGGUAACCUCCCCAAGGGCAUUUAUAUUUCAAGAGUGGCUUUUCUUAUGAGACAGAACAAAGAACUUGGGCUUUGGAAUCAGAUACCCCCUGGGCUCAAACCCCUUUGAUGCUCACCACUAUGGCAACCUGGACAGGCCGCUUCUCUGAGCUUUAGGAGCAUCGUCUAGUUAACUGUGGACAAAACAUAUUGGGAUUAGUUUCCCACAGCUGCUGUAACAGAUGACCACAAAUUUAGAGGCAUAAAACACCACCAGUGUAUCAGUUUACAAUUCUGGAGGUCAAAGUUGAAGAUGGGUCUCAUGGCUAAAAUCAAGGUGUCAGCAAGGCUGUGUCCCUUCUAAAGAUUCUGGGAAAGAGCCUGUUCCUGCCUUUUCCUCCUUCUGGAGGUUGCCUGCGUUCCUUGGUUCGUGGCCCCUCUACAUCCUCAAAGCUGUCAAUGGCUGGUCAAAUCCUUGUCACAUCUCAUCACUUGGACACUGACCCUCCUGCCCCUCUUGUGGUUCCAUUGUGCCCUUGUGGAUUAUCCAGGACAAUCUCCCUGACUUUGACUCCUGAUUAGCAACCUUAAUUCCAUCUGCAACCGUAAUUCUCCCGUCUUCUCCCUUGCCAGAGUUCUCCAGAGAGGCAGAUGUGUAUGUUUCUCCAGAGAAGCAGAACCAAUAGGAGAUAUCUAUCUAUCUACAAAAUGAAGGUGGGCAGCACUCAUGAUGUCCAGCCAGCAAGCUGGAGACCCAGGAGGGCUGAUAGUGUAAUUCAAGUCUGAGUCCAAAAGCCUAAAGAAUCAGGUGAGCCAAUAGUGUAAGCUCCAGUCCAAAAAUCAGCAGGCUUAAGACCCAGAAGAACCAGUGUUUCAGUUUCAGUACAAAGGUGAGAAAUGGUCAAUAUCCCAGCUCAAGACAGUCAGGCCUUAUUCAUGGAAGGGUCAGCCUUUUUGUCCUAUUCGGGUCCUCAACUGAUUAGACAAGGCCCACUGACACUGGAGAGGGCAAUCUGCUUACUGGCCUACUC